RNAcentral lists this transfer RNA (73 nucleotides) under Clostridia bacterium. Its description in RNAcentral is "tRNA-Tyr". It matches the Rfam family "tRNA". Rfam says of the family: Transfer RNA (tRNA) molecules are approximately 80 nucleotides in length. Their secondary structure includes four short double-helical elements and three loops (D, anti-codon, and T loops). Lineage: Bacteria; Bacillati; Bacillota; Clostridia. The record is from RNAcentral.
CUCACGGUUGUCUAAUGGAUAGGACGCAUGACUAUAUAUCAUGAGUAUGCGGGUUCGAAUCCCGUCUGCGAGA